Molecule: long non-coding RNA, 7106 nt
Organism: Balaenoptera musculus (blue whale)
Lineage: Eukaryota; Metazoa; Chordata; Mammalia; Artiodactyla; Balaenopteridae
Exons: 2
Source: RefSeq, a predicted model, not a curated record
AGUUCUUACAUUCCUGAUGGGAGGAGUUGUUAAAGUGUAUUUGUAACUCCUGCUAAGAGUACGGAAUAGGGUUCCAAAAAGUGACUUUGUGGAUUGUCAUUAGUUUUCUGUGUGUACGUGUGUGUCUCAUAUGAGCCUUAUUUAAAGUAGGCCCACGUCAUGCAUCCCUUGGAAGAGGGAUCAUUGCCUGAUUUUACUUAUAAACGUAGAUGUUUACACGGUUUGCAUAAAGUUUGUGUUUACUUCUGUAUUUAAUACUUCAGAAAUAGUAAUUAGGCAAAUUGACAUUUGGAGUAAAUACAGAAGAAGAAUAACAUGGUAAAAUUAAUAUCCCUUAAUUAUUUUCUUCUUAGAUAAGUGAAACUUGAGCAAUCAAAUCUCUGUGUUAUUUUUAAACAUCUUUAUUAAGAUAUAAUUAACGUACUAUAAAAUUCACCAGUUUGAAAUCUACAAUUUAAUGAUUUAGUAUAUUCACAGAAUUAUGAAACCAUCACAAUAAUCCAAUUUUAGAUUAUUUUUGUCACCCCCUAUAAGAAAGUCCCUACCUAUUAGCAUUUUUGUGUCUGUUUUUAUAACAAGCUAUAAAAUAGAGCUAGACUAGAGCUUUAGUUCCUGGCUUCUAGUCUGAACAGAGACCGUUAGGCAUCUCUUCAUAAUUUAAUAACACAGUUGAUGUCAGUAGCAACUAAUUAAGGUAUCACAGAGCAGAAUUAUUUCUUUAAUGAUGAACAAACUUUUAAACAGAAGUUUAAAAGCUUUCAUGAACACACUUUUCAACCAAAGAGCCACUUAGAAGCAACCAAGUUACUUUCCCAGCUUACGGAAAUUAGUGGCUAACCUUUGCCCCUGGCUCCGGAUACGGGUCCGAGACUAAACAGUGUUAGUGGUGGAGGUUAGAUGUGAGAGAGGGCUUCCCAGACGUUUCUGAGGAGCCAUAGCACAAUGGGAAAGCAUACUCUCGAGUCCUAAAGAUCGGACUAUUCUGUUAUUUACUAGCUCUGUGAACUUGGGAAAUUUAUUUAACCUGAGGCUCUUUCCUGUUGUAUAAAAUGGGAAAAGUGAUGGCUGCCUUUGGGGGUUAUUGUGAGAGUUAAAUGACAGAGCCCAGUGCUGGAGACAUAUCAGCCCAUGACAUGAGAGCUGUCAUUAUACUUGUUCAAGCUCUGCCCUCAAGGCUGUGAAGGAUGGCCAGGGGAAUUAGUGCCCUUCUCUUUGCUGCGUGCCUAUAAAAAGAGAAACUUCUGCCUGUGAAGAGUAGGUUACCUGAGUAUGAGACCUGAACUGUAGAUCCCCUGGGUGGAGAAGUCAUUGCCUGAGACAGAUAGGAAGUGCCAGGGAGAGCGGAGGCAUGGAGGCCGUGUGACCCCUCUGUGGGUGAGGAGUUUGGGCCUUGGUGAGUGGGAGAUUGUUACUUCCUCCCCCAAGUGUAUUUUAAAUAAAACACACUUGAGAAAGCUAAAUCAUUACCAGUAUUCCUGAAUUCAAGUGAUGAGAAAUUAAGUUAUAAUACUACCCAGUCUUCUACGAAGUUAACCAACAAAAACAUGAAUUUGGGCCUAACGUGGAUCCUUGAACAGCCUCCCAAGGGACCUGGAUAUUCAGAGACCACAUUUCAGUGUCAGCUCACCUAUGUGCUGAGUAACUGUCUGUUAAACCGGCUUACUAAGUUGCAAGGAGAAAAACCUGGCUUUUAAUACCGGUUCUGUCACAUCCUGAUGCUGUGUGUGACCUUUGCUUCCUGUAUAUGCUGAUGAAUCAAUAGGACUCAGUGACAUUAUCUACUUGCUUCUGAUUCUACAACGCUACCAUUGGAAGCAUUGCGGAGUGGUAGGCCAUCAUACAUCCCAAGGGCUACUUUAUUACAAAGCUUGUUGUUUUGCUCUGUGUUGAGUACCUGAAAUGAUGUGACAUUUCCCUCAAUCAGAUCUGACAGAUUCUCUACCCAUUAUAUUAUGUUUUUAUACUCACCAAUGCUCUUACUCAAAUCAUACCAUUUUGCAGGAAUGUUGAAUUGAAUUUGAAGGCUACUCUUCCAACUUUGGUUAAAAUCCUCUUAACUAUUAGCAGAAUGUUUUUUCUCAAAAUAGGGUCAGAGCAAUAUAAAGAAACAUAUGAAUUAUUGGGGAAAAGUGGUCUUGUCUAGCAUCAUGGGUUUUUUGGCUGAGAAAACAGGUGCCCCAAGAAAUUAAGCAUUCAAAAGCGUGCAGCUCACCUUUUAUCCACAUGGAGUGAUCAGAAGUGAUCUCUGUUACUCCCCUCCUGCCGUUGGGUAGACUUUUCCUCCAAGAUGUUAGUGUCGAAGUCUUCUAUGUAAGAGUGCUCACUGUGGGUCUUUGAGGGUUACUAGAGAUGGAAAUACUGGUGCCGGAGACCCAGGGAUAAAGGAGAGGAGAGGCUGUUUGGAGGGCUGGCCUGUAGGAUGGAAAUGGAAACGUUGGGUCCUGGGAAGGGAGGGACAAUUCCUCUCGUGCUGCCGUGUUAGUCAGGGUUCUCCAGAGAAAUGGAACCAGUAGAUGAGAUACACAGAGAGGUAUUUUUAUUUUAAGGAAUUGACUCGUGAUUGUGGGAGCUUCAAAGUCCAGAAUCCAUAGGGCCAGCCCGCAGCCUAGAGUCUCGAGUCUCCAGUCCUGUGUUGCAGUCUUGAGCCUCUCUUUACUUUCCCUGGAAAAGACAAUUUGGGGAUUGUUUUUCCUCAAAGUGGAGUGAAAAGGAUAGAUGUGCUUCACAGAAGUUGCAUGAGAUUUACUGAUUAUGAUUUAAGGGCACUAAGAGAGGCUGAGAUUAAGUUAACCCCGUGAGUAAUCCUUUUCUACGGGCUGAGUUUCAUAGUUUAACGACAGUGUGUGGUCAGCCCUGGGAGCACGACUGGGAAAAAGAGCGAGACGUGCUCCUGCCGUGCAGGGGCUGCGGGGAGAGGCGACGCUGGCCCCUCGUCGUUCCGCUGUGUAGGGACCAGUGUUAGAAACAUAUUUUCUGACUGGAGCAGGGUCUGGUUGGGUGAGAGACCACCAGCUAAAGCUAAGAAAGUGGUAUUUCAUGUAGGUCUCGAGGUAGGUCUGAAAGUAAACCAGGUGGAUUGGGAGGGGAAUCUGAGCCGAGGGGCUAGGGGACGAAGGGCACAGAGCUGAGAAAGCCCAUGGGGCUUUCAGGGAGAAUCUGAGUGAUUCCAUGCAGCUAGAUGAAUAAAAACAGAUUCAGAUACCUUCAGAAUAGAUCUUCUCAGACAGGUGCACCUGUGUCCUUGCACUUAAGUCCAGAAAGCAUCUACUGUCAGUUGAUUCAUGUAAUAUUUGGUGGUGGUUUUGUACUGUGAACGUCUGCUGUAAUACUGACUGGCUUAAUUAUAACUUGGAAGUUAAUUGAAGAAUUUGAAAUUUGUCUUUGUGAAUCUGUGGCUUCUAAUUUUAUUCUGGAACACCUAGACCAAAAACUAUACUUGCCAAGAUGUUUAAAGGAUAACAGGUAAGAUUCAUUCAGGGAUUUCGACAUGCCAGGUACUGUUCUAAAUGCCUUAUGUACGUUUAUUCAUUGCAUGCUCACAACAGCUCCAUGAGGACUUGGAGAAAUGAGUGGUUGAAAAGGCUGCCCGUGGUCACACGGUAGUAAGUGGUAGAAGCAGGAUUUGAACCCCAGGCAUUUGGCUCCACGACUGGCACUCUUCAGCUCUACCUUCUAAUGCCUCUUAAUUAAGAUACGGUUUUAGUGCUCCUGUUUUCUGUGAAGACCAGUUAGGUCAAAAGAAACUGCAGCACAUUUUUCUUUGUUAUGUAAAAGAGAAAAAGCCCCCAUAGCAUUCCAGUUUUAUGAAAGGAUACCUGAGAGACGUAACUUCUAUAACAAUUUAGAACAUACUUAGAGCCCUCUCUCCAGCCCUUUCAUAACAAGGGAAAAGUACAGAUCCCAAGUAUAAGUGACAUCUACUAGUAACUCCUUUCUUUUUUGUUUUUGUUUCCAACCUUAUCUCCCAAACCGAGCUCUUCUAUCUAGAAGGAGGUUCCUUUCCCGUCAUCCCUCUUUGCCCCAGAGGCACCUGCCCACUCUCAUCAGGCUUGAAGCCCAGCUGUCCUCUUGUGCUCUUCCUCCCUUGGAGCGUUUACCGAGGUCCUUCCUCCUGUGGAUGCUGGGCACUCGGGAUAAAACAAUAAGAAGAUUUACGUAGUGCCUUUGAGAUGCUCAGAAUCUCAGAGAUGUCAGAAGCCAGGCACAGAAAUGAUUUCAGUAGAAAGAGAUCAACUGUAUUCUUGAGGUCGUCCCCUUCCCAGGCCACCUGUCCUCGCUGUCUAUGACCAUUCAUCUUUCAGAGACGCGGGUCUUCCCCAUCGUCCCACGUUCAGAAUCCUCGCCCGUUUCCUGUAAGCUGAAGUCUGGAGUCCCCCGUUGGCAUUCAGACCCUGGCCACCCCAUUUCCACCUUGCUUCUCCUGUGCUCCCUGGCGGGAACUGCCAGCAGCAGCCGGGCUGGCCUCCUUUGCCCCUGCAGUCAUCCUGCCAGCAGCCCACGGAGUCCCCUUUCCAGACGCCUUGGUCCUUUUCCUCUGCCUCUCCAGCUGCUGCUCAUCUCGUCAGUAUUGUGCUCAGGGCUGGCCUCUUCUCGGGGAGUCUUUGCCAGCCUCUACCGGUCUCUCCACCCUGCACAUCCUUAAGAGCACUUGUGCGUGUGCUUGGGAGCUCACUGUCCUGUCUCACCUUGUAGAGAGGACAGAGCACGAGCUUUACAUCAUCAGACGGUCCUGGACGAGACGAUCUGUCUACUCCUGAACGAGCCUUUUGCCGUGAACGAGUUUCUUAACCGCUCUGAGCCUCAGACGCCUCGUUGCACAGCAGCUACGAGGCUGUGAGGUGCCACGCGUGGUGACUUGACCCACAGGCAGAAGAGUUCACCUUUAAGUUCAGAGCGGUAAAUUCACUGGUAAAGUGUAAUGAAAGAACUGGAAGUGGAAGGGCACAGUCUUGACACAAGGGUCACUGGUGAUAGUCCAGUGCGUGUGGCCCCUCCGUGUUACCUACCCCACCAUUAGAAUGAGAGGUUCGUGCUCUCACGGAAUUUGCAUUAGGACCAAAGAGGUUCUGUCAAACAGCUGGUUGUGUAUGUGUUAUGUAAUUGCGGUGUAAUUCUUUUCUGACCAUUCUGCAGAAGUAGAUUAUCACCCAGCAAGGCCUACACUGACUUUCAGUUCUCAGCUUAAACGUCACUGAAACUCUCCUUGCUUCCUCAGCCUCCUGGUGUCCAUCUAUCCAACAACUCACGGUACACAUAUUACUUAUUUAGCCAUUGCUCUUUCCAGACACUACUCUGUUCCAGGCAGGGUGUCCAUAUGCCCUGGGCUUCUUGCAUGGUCUGUGUUGUUUCCCUUUCAGUGUGGUUGCUUGUGUGAUCCCUGGCUUCCCCUCUCACCUCUGAGCCAAGCCCAUUUCUGUCUUGUUCAGUGCCCCCCGGUGCCUGGCAUGGAGGGGCGCUCAGCACAGAUUUGUUAACGAGGAAUCGAACGAAGGCCAGGAUGGAGGCCGUACCAGUGAAAGCACUGCCUAGACUUUGUGCGUAACUGACUGUGGGAGAUGCUUCAAAGGCGAGUCCUGGGCUUGGGGUGUGGCUGGUAGGGAGAUGGGGGAUGGUCACCAUCAUCAAUAGAGAAGUCAGGAAAUGAAACUGGUUUCGGUGGGAGAAUGGUCAACUCGAUUAGACUGAUUUAUUAUAGUGGGGCGGUCAAGUGGAAUUGUUUAUUGGCGAUGUUGCACUCAGAAGGUCAGUGUACACAUGGUAUAUUUUGGAGUUCUCUUUGGAACUGAUCAUGGACCCCCUGAGCCUUUGUGGAUGGUCAGGGAAGAGUGGAGCACGAGGUUGGUACCUGGGAGGGGAGGAACAUGCAGGGACUAAACAUCACAUUUACCAAGUGUUCCACUGCCACACAGAUGAAUUGGAUCCAAGCCUUCCCUCCUGAGUUAAAGAACAACUAACUGGUCACCAUCUUCCAUGAAAUAAUCUUCCUUCUACCUAAGAAAUGUUCUAUAUUGUAUUUUGGGCAUCAUAAAAUUUAACCAUUCAUUUCAACAUGUAUUUAUUGAGCACCUGCUAUGUAGCAGGUACUUUUCCAGGUGCAGGGAGUGCAAUAAUAAAAUGUAAUCCUUGACUUUAUGAUGGUGAGAAUUAUACAAAAACCAAGUUUAUAUGUAUCAAACGGUGAUAAUUGCUCUAGAGAAAAAUAAAGUAGAAGAAUAAUUUAGGUGCACAGUCCUUUACUCAAAAUCCUUGAGACAAGAUGUAUUUGGAGCAUGGGAACAUAAUAUGACACAUAUACCGUCUAUUAACAUCCUUAGUGGAGUUACAAGUAGCCUCAUGUUAGCUUAGGUCAACUUUUGUCACCUAAUGAGUUAACAAAAUUAAGUUUUGCCAUUAAAUAUAAUAAGUUAUGUAAUAGCUUAAUUUCCAAGUUGGUUUCGGUUGUUUUAGAUUUUCAGAGCUAACAUGUAGUGCUUACGCUAAGUUCCAGGCGUUCUUCUAAAAGCACAGUCCGUACACACACAUAUACACUCAUGUAAUCCUCAUAACAACCCUACAACUGUUAGUUAUAGAGCUGUUAGUCCCCUUUACAGAUGGGAGAACUGAAGCACAGAGAGAGUCAACAAGUGCCCAGGAACCCAGUAACAUCCUCAGACACUAUGCUAUCCCUUUGUCAGGAAGGGAGGCUGCUCAUGAAUAGGAUGAUCAGGGAGGGCCUCAGUGACGUGGUGACAUUUAAGCAGAGACCUGAAAGAAGCGAGGGAGCCGUGUGGAUGGAGAGCUGGGGGAAAGCGUUCUGGGCAGAGAGGAGUUGGGGAUAUUCUGGUUUGUGAUUGAGAAACCAAAUGGGUAUUGCUGGAGUGAGUGGGAUUGGAGGGCCGGGGAGGUCAGAGCAGUAACUGGCAUUUUGGUCAAGAUAAUCCUUUGUUGUGCAGAAUGGUCCUGUGCGUUAUAGGGUGUUUAGUAACCUGGGCCUCGCAUACGAACCGCCAUGUCAUGGUGAAAGCCAUCCAAAUGCCCCAUGCCUUUCUAAAUAUCCCCUAGAUUGUCUCUCCUGGUGGAUGAUAUUGUCGUCUUUGAGAAUAAUUCAGAACUCUGUGAACAACUGA